GAAAUACCACCCUUGUAGUGUUGAUGUUCUAACGUCGACCCCUAAUCGGGGUUGCGGACAGUGCCUGGUGGGUAGUUUGACUGGGGCGGUCUCCUCCCAAAGAGUAACGGAGGAGCACGAAGGUGGGCUAAUCACGGUUGGACAUCGUGAGGUUAGUGCAAUGGCAUAAGCCCGCUUGACUGCGAGAAUGACAAUUCGAGCAGGUGCGAAAGCAGGUCAUAGUGAUCCGGUGGUUCUGAAUGGAAGGGCCAUCGCUCAACGGAUAAAAGGUACUCCGGGGAUAACAGGCUGAUACCGCCCAAGAGUUCAUAUCGACGGCGGUGUUUGGCACCUCGAUGUCGGCUCAUCACAUCCUGGGGCUGAAGUCGGUCCCAAGGGUAUGGCUGUUCGCCAUUUAAAGUGGUACGCGAGCUGGGUUUAGAACGUCGUGAGACAGUUCGGUCCCUAUCUGCCGUGGGCGUUGGAAGAUUGAAGGGGGCUGCUCCUAGUACGAGAGGACCGGAGUGGACGAACCUCUGGUGUUCGGGUUGUGUCGCCAGACGCAUUGCCCGGUAGCUAAGUUCGGAAUCGAUAACCGCUGAAAGCAUCUAAGCGGGAAGCGAGCCCUGAGAUGAGUCUUCCCUGAUACUUUAAGUAUCCUAAAGGGUUGUCGGAGACUACGACGUUGAUAGGUCAGGUGUGUAAGUGCUGUGAGGCAUUGAGCUAACUGAUACUAAUUGCCCGUGAGGCUUAACCAUACAACACCCAAGGGGUUU
RNAcentral lists this ribosomal RNA (755 nucleotides) under Vibrio parahaemolyticus. RNAcentral describes it as "partial 23S ribosomal RNA". It matches the Rfam family "Bacterial large subunit ribosomal RNA", at positions 2194 to 2925 of the family's 2925-position model. The record is from RNAcentral. Lineage: Bacteria; Pseudomonadati; Pseudomonadota; Gammaproteobacteria; Vibrionales; Vibrionaceae.